ACAGUGGACGCGAGCAUCUGUGGCCAAGUUUUUAAGGGCGCACGGUGGAUGCCUUGGCACCAGGAACCGAUGAAGGACGUGGGAGGCCGCGAUAGGCCCCGGGGAGCUGUCAACCGAGCUGUGAUCCGGGGGUGUCCGAAUGGGGAAACCCGGCAGUCGUCAUGGGCUGUCACCCAUACCUGAACACAUAGGGUAUGUGGAGGGAACGCGGGGAAGUGAAACAUCUCAGUACCCGCAGGAAGAGAAAACAACCGUGAUUCCGGGAGUAGUGGUGAGCGAAACCGGAUGAGGCCAAACCAGUCACGUGUGAUACCCGGCAGGGGUUGCGUGGUUGGGGUUGUGGGAGUUCUCUUGAUCGGUCUGCCGGCCGGUCGGUGAGUCAGAAACCGUUGAUGUAGGCGAAGGACAUGCGAAAGGUCCGGCGUAGAGGGUAAGACCCCCGUAGCUGAAACAUUGACGGCUCGCUUGAGAAUCACCCAAGUAGCACGGGGCCCGUGAAAUCCCGUGUGAAUCUGGCGGGACCACCCGCUAAGCCUAAAUAUUCCCUGGUGACCGAUAGCGGAUAGUACCGUGAGGGAAUGGUGAAAAGUACCGCGGGAGCGGAGUGAAAUAGUACCUGAAACCGUGUGCCUACAAGCCGUGGGAGCGUCGC
Molecule: ribosomal RNA, 652 nt
Filed under: Streptomyces albus subsp. albus
Lineage: Bacteria; Bacillati; Actinomycetota; Actinomycetes; Kitasatosporales; Streptomycetaceae
Description: bacterial LSU rRNA
Rfam family: Bacterial large subunit ribosomal RNA
Source: RNAcentral